GAUGAACGCUGACAGAAUGCUUAACACAUGCAAGUCCACUUGAAUUUGGGUUUUUACCUUAGGUUUGGGUGGCGGACGGGUGAGUAACGCGUAAAGAACUUGCCUCACAGCUAGGGACAACAUUUGGAAACGAAUGCUAAUACCUAAUAUUAUGAUAAUAGGGCAUCCUAUAAUUAUGAAAGCUAUAAGCGCUGUGAGAGAGCUUUGCGUCCCAUUAGCUAGUUGGAGAGGUAACGGCUCACCAAGGCGAUGAUGGGUAGCCGGCCUGAGAGGGUGAUCGGCCACAAGGGGACUGAGACACGGCCCUUACUCCUACGGGAGGCAGCAGUGGGGAAUAUUGGACAAUGGACCGAGAGUCUGAUCCAGCAAUUCUGUGUGCACGAUGAAGUUUUUCGGAAUGUAAAGUGCUUUCAGUUGGGAAGAAACAAAUGACGGUACCAACAGAAGAAGUGACGGCUAAAUACGUG
RNAcentral lists this ribosomal RNA (467 nucleotides) under uncultured bacterium. RNAcentral's name for it is "partial 16S ribosomal RNA". It matches the Rfam family "Bacterial small subunit ribosomal RNA", at positions 28 to 507 of the family's 1533-position model. The record is from RNAcentral.